ACUCCUACGGGAGGCAGCAGUGGGGAAUCUUGCACAAUGGGCGAAAGCCUGAUGCAGCGACGCCGCGUGAGCGAUGAAGCCCUUCGGGGUGUAAAGCGCUUUCGACGGGAACGAUAAUGACGGUACCCGGAGAAGAAGCUGCGGCUAACUACGUGCCAGCAGCCGCGGUAAUACGUAGGCAGCGAGCGUUGUUCGGAAUUACUGGGCGUAAAGAGUGUGUAGGCGGUGUUCCCAGUCUGUUGUGAAAUCUCCCGGCUUAACUGGGAGGGUGCAGCGGAAACUAGAAUGCUAGAGGGUGGGAGAGGUAAGCGGAAUUCCUGGUGUAGCGGUGAAAUGCGUAGAUAUCAGGAGGAACACCUGUGGUGUAGACAGCUUACUGGACCACUUCUGACGCUGAGACACGAAAGCGUGGGUAGCAAACAGGAUUAGAUACCCUGGUAGUCCACGCCCUAAACGAUGCAUACUUGGUGUGAGCGAUUCAUUUCGUUCGUGCCGGAGCUAACGCGUUAAGUAUGCCGCCUGGGGAGUACGGUCGCAAGAUUAAAACUCAAAGGAAUUGACGG
RNAcentral lists this ribosomal RNA (563 nucleotides) under uncultured Acidobacteriaceae bacterium. Its description in RNAcentral is "bacterial SSU rRNA". It matches the Rfam family "Bacterial small subunit ribosomal RNA", at positions 335 to 916 of the family's 1533-position model. The record is from RNAcentral. Lineage: Bacteria; Pseudomonadati; Acidobacteriota; Terriglobia; Terriglobales; Acidobacteriaceae.